AAGCUUAUGAGAUUUUACUAUUCUUAGUUAAAGCAUUUACUUUCAUCUUCAAUCACUAGAGAAUAAUGAUGAAUAUUGACACAGUUGAGCCCAUUAAUACAGAGGAUACAAUAAAGAAUGCAAGUAAACAAAAUUCUAAACUGGUCACAAAAACAUUGAAAAGAUUGACAUACUCAUAGCACAUACAACUGAAGAAUAUACAAUGUAACAUUACAUUUUUAGAAUUUCUGUAUUAUUUCUGUUCCUUUAGGUAGAGUGGAAACAAUUAACAUUUGAAGCUAAGCACAAGGAGCUAUAUUUUGUUGGAUAUAUUUCUUAGGAUUAUUGGUUUAAAUAAUAGAAGUAGUUAUAUAAUACACUUUCAGUCAAACUGUCAAUCAAAGAUAGUGUGUGCUCAUUUAUGACCCUUUGUGCUUCUCUGGCUGACAUUUCUGUAGGUAACCUAAUUUAUGACCAGGGUGGGGGUAGCCCUAUCGACUGUAUCAGUGGGUCAUUCUGGCACCUGUGUGUCGGGAUCUGUGGGGUGUGGGGGAGUAGUCCCCAACAAAUGUGUUUGUUAAUGUUGUGAAACCUGUUUCUCCCAGUAGUAAUCACACACAAUGUAUACCACAAUGUAUUUUUCGUGGUAUAAGAGAAUGUUUGUUUCUGAAAUUACUUUUUGUGGUAUUGUUUUAUUUGUAGCUUAAGGAUGUUUGGGUGAAAUACGUCUGAAAAAGUGUAUCAAAUGGUUAAUAUUGGGUAUACGUUUGUGUGGGGGAUUUCGUUUAUGUAACCACAUUGUUAGAAAAAGCAUGAUGUUUGAAUGUGUACAUAUAUGAGCAGAAUAUUUGUUUGUGAAACAAAUGAAAACAAAUGUUGAUUACGUUUUUUGGGAGACUGGUUUGACUUGGAAUAAAAAUUUAGGAGGUAAAACAUUUUUUUUUUUUAAAAGAAUCUGUUUAAAAGAAUCAUACGUAUUACAUGUCUUCCAAACAUAAACCUUUAGGAAGUAAAAAUGAGUAAAAGAGCUGUUUAAAAGAAUCCGUAAUACAUGUUUUCCAAAAACAUAACCCUUAUGAGAUAAAAACAAACUGUGGGGAAACAGUUUGUAAUCAAAGAACAGUAAUUAAAUCUAGAAAAUGCGAUGACGACGGUUUGUGUUCCUUUGAACAGUGUGGUAACAUGGAAACAUUACAGUAUUUAAUUCAGACAAUGGAGGAUCUGAAUAGAUCUGAGUCUACCACUGAUACGUUGUUGGAAUUAUUAAACAUUGCGAGAUCAGUGGCAGACGAUCAAGCAGAAUCAAUUCCUCUUCAUCAACUUCAUCAUUAGAACAUGCUUCAAAUUCACAACAGGUGGGGAGGGGUUCAGACAGCGAAUCGUAUCAUACGUUUAAUCCUUUGGAGCCAAAUUUUGGGUUAUCCGCAUCCGCUAUUGAUUCUAUUGUAAGAGAGGGUGGCGAUAUUGGUGGUUGUACAGUGGUAGCGAGACUCAGAUUUAAUAGUUUGGAGAUACGGCGUCAUAUAAAUGUGUGUGAUAAACGCCCCAGACCUGGCUGCGUACACAAUAUUUCUGCAUGGUGUCAUGGAUGAAAUACUGUCAUUUUCCAGACUGCUGGCCAGUGAUGGGGGUUUAAUCAACAUAACAUUGAGAGGCCCUAGUCUACCCUCUGAUGUUAACGCUGUCUUGUGUGCGUGUUCACAAACCAGAUUGAGAACAUUAUGCAAAGCAAUUCUAAUGUGCGAGCUGAUGACAGUUUGGAUCUAAAUGUGUCUAUAGCUCAUGGUAAACACGGUGGUGCUUAUCGAAAGAUACGUGAUCUAGCCCAUAACGAAGUGGUUGCCAUAAACAGAAUGAAUCUGUUUUGUCCCAGCAAUAUAUCUAACAAUCUGUGUUUUGCAAUCUGUCUGGCCCAUUUUCUACAUCACAAAUGUCGUGUACUGAUCUAGAACUGAUAGCCGAGUCUCUGCAGGACACUGCGGGGUAUUCAGUACAGCAAAAGAUAGGGUUUAAUGACAUUACAGAGUUUGAACAGUUGUUACACAUUAAAAUAGUGGUGUUACAUAGAACAUGUACUGGUAUGUUGGAACGGUAUACGUCCAGUGACGUGCCCCAUAACAAGACCAUGUUCUUGUAUCUGCACAACGAACAUUAUUUCAUGAUUAAGAACCUAAAAGCGUUCAUAGGUACUCCAUACGUGUGUGACUACUGCCACCAUGGAUUUACUAGCCGUAGAGACCAUAGGUGUAAAUACAUUUGCAAUGUUUGUAAUGCACCUGAUUAUCAUAAAUACGCUGUCAAAACGAGGCAAUGUCACGAUUGUUUGCGAUACUGCAGAUCUGCUGUGAUGUCACAAAACUGUCACUGUCAGAAAUGUAAUAGGCGAUAUCAUGUCAAUGGAGCCACCCCAAAACAACACGUGUGUGCAGCAGAACUUUGUAUCCAUUGUGGCAUGGAAUCGGUUAAUGACUGUGUACACCAGUGUUUUAUACAGCCAAUAAAACUCGAGCCACCUAGCGACAAAUACAUAUACUAUAAUUUUGAGACACGACACGUAGAUGGUAAACACGUUGCAAACUUCAUAUACGUGAUUACGUUUAAAGGGGAAGAGUUCACAGCUGCUGGUACAGACUAUAUAGAUCAACUUUUAGACAAAGUUUAGAUCAAAGUUUAGACAGCCUCAUUAUCAGAAUUUCACAUGUGUUGCACACAUUGCUUCAGGGUUUUACAACUUUAUAUUUUUGGAAUAUUUCACAAAAGCAGGGCUAACACUUCAAAUUAUUAUGCAAGGCUGUCCGAUCAUUUUAAUGCUUAAUGCUUUCCCGGACAAGACAUUCAAGCACCGUUUCAUUGAUAACUACUCAUUCAUCCCUAUGCGUCUGGCUGUGACGUCCACUGCGUUAAAUCUAACCUGUUCUGAGAGGUCAUUUUCCAUACCUAUUCAGUAGAAUAGAAAAUGAAGACUACAUAGGACCAUACCUGGCUAUGAGACAAUGACUACGUUUACAUGGACAGCAGUAAUCUAAUUAUUGACCUUACUCUGAGUACUCUGUGAUUAAGGUGUUUACAUGAGUUACUUUUAGAAUACUCCUGUCAUGUUCCCAUUUUACAUGUUAUAAAACAUAGUUCAAUUAACAGCAUGUGUCAUUACGUCACCACACCACGCUGUCCGACGUUUCCUCCAGAAUUUCAUGUAUUAACAUACAGCUCAUCUUCGUUAUGGUACCGUAUACAGUUUUGGGUGUUUAAUUUUUUAUUUUAUGAAAGCUUCAAGUGCAGUUAAUCAUUUGUCAUGCUGUACGUGCAAAUAGAUGACGGCGGAUACAAAUUCUCCAGCAACAGGCCUCCUCUGUACUUUCAUUCGGCAACAGUGGUAGUGGUCCUGUACCAGCUCGGUAGCUGCGGGGAAUACCGAGUAAGAGCUAAUCAAUUUGGCGUGCACAAGUGCACGGUCAAGAAGUUUGUGUACAUGGUUUGCAAAGGAAUGCUAUCCUAUGCAAAAAAUCUAAUCCAGGUUCCUAGUCUGGAGGAGGCAAAUGCAAUUGCUUACCGAUUCGAAAUGGAACAUCACAUACCACAGAUAAUCGGAUGCGUUGGCGGGACGCACAUUCCCAUACUUCCGCCAAAAGAUGGAUAUAGGGACUUUGUUAUCGUAAAGGAUGGCCCUCAUACGUGCUUCAGGCAGUCGUGGAUGACCAAUAUUGGUAAGUAGCCAAGAAUAUGUUUAUUUACCUGUAUUAGCCCACAUGAAUCUUGCCUUUAUUGUAUAUAGCAUGUAUUAUGUAUUUGUUGUUUGAUAAAUUGUUUUUACUGGUAUCUGCCCUAUCGUAGGUUCCAUUUUAAGUAUCUCUCUGCCCUGUGAAGUGUUUUAUGACUUGUCUCCAACAAGCACAGUACACAUUUUUUAUUUACUUUAAAAUAUAAGUGCUUUUCACUUAGAUAUCUACCUUUCUCUCAAACCUAUGUAUCGUAUAUAAAACACUAGAGCCUAAGUUGGAGUGUACAUUGUUUAUCUGCUAAUAUGACCAAUAAACUCAGCUAUACUUCUGUAAUGCUGAUUCAUUUUUUCUUUUUUAUCUAGCUUUUGGAGUGUCAAUUGCCAAGUUCCUGGGAGUGCACAUGAUGUCAAUGUACUGUGGCAAUCACAGCUAUGCAAAAGGCCCAUCUACUCCCCAGGGGAGUGAGGGUGAUUCAGGGGAAACCUGUGCAUUUCUUUCUCCUCGGAGAUCCAGCUUAUCCACUCAUGGACUGACUGAUGAAGUGUUACCCACAGUCUCUAGGCCUAACACCUGAACAAGAGUCGUUCAAUGUUCACCUCAGCUCAACAAGAACAACAGUGGAGAUUGCUUUUGAGAGACUGAAGUCUAGGUGGAGGGUGCUCCUGAAAUGCAGUGAUAUUUUCACUUCACUUUCUCACCUUGCAUGAUUACAUGUUGUGCACUGCACAAUUUUUGUGAACGAGAAAAGGAGAAGGUCCCCCAAUGCUGGAUGGAGGAGGCAACAGUUAUGGAGAGAGCCUUACCCCAGCCCCACAGUGCACCACAGAACCAGCACAGAUGCUUAUGUCAUGAGAGAUGCAUUAUCACCAUACAUGGCAGCAACAUUUCCCCUUUGGAGGAGUAUACAUUAGGCACAAGUGGUUAACAUUCAGCAUAUUUGCUUGCUUUGAGGAGCUUGGAAAGUCACACUUCUUAGUAUUUGUUCAACGUUAUUAUCUCCAGUCUGUGAUGUUAACUGCAUUCAAGAAGUUAUUUUAUGAAGAAGUGCUGCACUUUUUAUUUUAAUGUGAACUAGGCAAUUUCUUUAAGUUUCUGUUGGGUUUUGUAUGCCUUAAUUCCAGGAACACUGCACACAGGUUUGAAGUGCAAAAAAGGACACAACAAAAAGGAUAAUAAGAAAGGGACCUCUUCAAGUUCUGCUCACUUAUGGUAAAUAUUACUUUACAAAAAAUAGAGGUUUAAUUAAAAAAAAACAUUUCAACCCCAUCCAGGGUGUACCCUGCCUUGUGCCCCAUGCUCCCUUAGGUUGGCUCCAGGUAUCUCAUGACCCUGUAGGAUGGACAGAAACUGGAUGGAUGAAUUUUUUAAAUUUUUUUAUUUAGUUAUUUUUUUUCAAAAAAUGAAAGGUUUCACUUACUAACAAAUUUAUAUAACAAAAGACAAGGCACAUUCUUUCCUGUAACACAGGCAAAUAUGAGGUAGGCAAACACAUCUAAACUCAAGUCAAUACAGGCAUUCACAAAGUAUUUUACAUAAGCAGGUUUUCUGCUACCUAAUGGCAGGCUGCUCACAGGUGAGUAUAUGAUCGAGCAUAUUCAUUUGCUUCUUCUGACCCAUGUUCAGCAGUGGAUGUGUUUGACACAGUAGAACCAUGCAGGGUAUAGUUAGAUGGCUGUGUGUGAUACCCUUGAAAGUGUGGGGGGGUGCAGUGAAGGAGGUGCAAACAUUGGAUGUGGGUGCUUUGGAAUCCCUCAACAAGUAUUGAUAUAAUGUGCUCGGUGGAACGGACAUUGCUCUCAAUUAAAGCACUAAGGAGUCUCUCCUCCCUUUGCUCGGAUUGCUGGAUUUGGUCUUGAACCCAUUAAUUUUAUUGCCUCAUCAUCUGUAUCAUGAACUGCUGAUGCUGAGAGAUCACAGUGCAUCUCGCAGAUUUCUUUCUUCGAGAGUAACCUAUGUUAUAUAUGUUACCAUUAAAAAAAAAAUAGAAAUGUCAGUUGAAGUGACAGGCUUUGAUAGCAAUAAAAUUGCUAGAAGUCUUAGAAAAUGAAAAAAAUGAUAUUUUUAAGUGUCUCCAUGUUCUACAUUAAUCAUAUUUUAAAUGUUGGGACAAAUAUGUGCAGCAUACAGUAGCUAGCCUAUGUAACAACUACUGAACCUGAUGAGUCAAACCAAUACAUACCUACAAAGAAUUGUCUUAUACAUAUACGUAUACAUACAUACAUACAUACAUACAUAGUGCCUAUUUAAUGGAAAUAGCAUUUACAUCAAAAACAUGUCACCUUGUGUCCUGGGUGGGUCGACAUCUGGUGCUGUGGCUGAAAAGCUUUCCUCUUGAGUACCAGAUGUAUCAGCUGAUUAUGCCUUAUCUUCAUCUGCAUCCUCGUUCAUUUCCUCCUGGUGAGAUAGAGAACUCGCUUCAUCCCCAACGAUACGAAUUCAAUGGUUGUAUGUUUCACGGGCAUGAUUGGCAGGCAUGUAAUCCCAACCAUUUACAUCCGUUAUCAAAAGUGCCCUACGGCUUGCUCGGAAGACAAUUUGAUGACAAAGUCGAAAUAUUAUAAAAAGCGUAUGGUCUGGAUGUUGAGGCAAUGUGGGAGUGUGAUUGGUAUAACGCUAAACAGACCGAUGUCGAUGUAAUGGCCUUUAUGACCACUUACACACAUCCUGAAAGACUGAAACUGUGCAACGCUCUAUUUUGUGGUCAUACUAACUAAUAGAAAUUGUAUCACAAAGCCGACAUUAGUGAAAAAAUAUGAUAUGUUGACUUUACAAGCUUGUAUCCCUUUUGCCAGGCCAAAAAAUGUUACCCCAUAGGACUUCCCCAAAUAAUUUUCAAGGAUUUUGAACCUCUUGAAAAUUAUUAUGGAUUUGUCAAAGCUACAGUGCUGCUACCACAAAAACUGCUUCACCCCAUCCUUCCCUAUAGGACUGGUGGUAAGCUUAUGUUUCCACUCUGUCGUACAUGCACAGAAAAGCAGAAUCAGACAGACCUGUGUGGACACACUGAUGAGGAAAGCAAUAUCAGGCUGUUGGGUCAGCAUCGAACUAUUGAAAGGUGUGGAAAAGGGUUACUUUGUAAUGAAAGUUACCUUUUCCACAACGGUCAGAAACUUUGUUUUGUGACUAUGUUAAAACAUUUUUACAAUACAAACAAGAGGCCAGUGGGUUCCCCGCUCAUGUUGUGACAGAUGCUGACAAGGAAUCCUACGUCUCUGAUUACUUUGAGAAAGAGGGGAUUAAGAUGCAUGUUGAUAAGUUAAGUCAUAACCCAGCACGGCGUUCUAUUAACAAACUUCUGCUGAACUCAUUUCUGGGUCGUUUCUUGAUGCGUGAAAACUUGCCGUGUACAGAACUAAUUUCCGGCCCAGAACAGUUUACACAACAUAUGGUUAUGACGUUAAACACUUUUCAUUCAUGUCAGACUGCGUAGCACUAAUUUAGUGGUGUUAUUGGGAAAGGGGGUCAGACUUGACAUUAACCUCCUUCUUGGUGCGUUUACAACCGCUCAUGCGCGUCUAGAGCUGUAUGAGUUAAUGGACAAACUGGGUGAUAGGUUGUUGCACAGUUCUUGUGAUGUCAUUUUGCUUCUAUUAGAAUCUGCUGGGCCUAUGUAAAUGAUUCGUAGCAGUUAGAAACAGAAAUCCAAUGGCAGUUUUCUGGCUAGGAUUAAGUGUUGUAUGUGCUGUUUUUUAACCUGGUGAUGUCCUAAUGAAAUGCUUUAUUUUUCACUGACAUGAUAAACAUUCUGAAGACUUAAGAAGUUACUAUUUUGAAUGUUUGGUUAGAUGUAGGCUUUGAUUAGAGAUAGAUAUGGGCUAUAAACUGUAUUAAAACCUGUUAUGCCCCUACUUUUUCACAAAGUAGAGCUGAAAACUUUACAAUGUACAUCUGUUCCAUUUGAUUUUUUGUUGUUAUUAUUAAAUGGUAAUUGAUUUUUUCUUUCUUUCUUUCUUUUUUUUUUUUUUAGAACCAUAUGCCACUUUGCUCUUUUAUACUGCAUGGGCAAAAACAAAUAAACCAACAAAUAAAUAAAUAAAAAAAACAUCUGGUGGAUAAAGUAGAUAGGCUUAAUCACCAUUCCCUGAGCCAGAUUACUACUGUAGUUUCACAAUCACUUCUAGAGUUAGUCAAAUGCUGCUUCUUUUGACACUGAUUUGCAAGCUUAGGGGGCUUUGUUUGGAAACCCAGUUCUGGAAUGUGUUUAAUUGCUUUUUUAUUUCCACAAAGUGAAACUGCUUUAGACAAACACAAGGUUCUUAAUUUACUGCCAUUGUUACCCAACGAGACUGGGACAGGAAGUAAGUGCAGGAUCAAAGUCUUCAUUAUCCACUAAAGUCAAUAUACACGAUACAGGAAAUGAGGUCAAAACAUAAACUAGAAUUGAGGCAUGAAACAAGAAACUAGAACUUGACUUUGAAACAAUACUGCGUAGCACCGGGGCAGGGUUAGAAAUGGGUAAGAUGGGUAAUGGUGUCAUGCGGUGUGUUUUCCAUGCACAACAAGGGCUGUGCAUGGAAAACACACCGCAUGACACCAUUACCCAUCUAACCCAUUUCUAACACUGCCCCGGCGGGAAUCAAACCCCAGACCCUGGAGGUGCGAGGCACACAUGCUAACCACUAAGCCACCAUGCGCCCGACGCCAUCAACCCAACACAGUAACUAGACCUGAGGCGCGAAACAUGAAACCAAACAUGUAACCUGCAUCACGUUUUUGUUUAAUGAGCACUCGUGUAUAUAUAGUGCCACUGUUUGCACUGAUUCUUUUUCUCACAUAAUUGUCUUAGACUACCGUGUUCCAUGUUACCGUGUUUUGGUCUUGUAGUUUAUUGUGUAGUCUGUACCACAGUGUUUUGCAUCAGUCUAAAUAUCCUUUGUGUUUUGGUUGGUUUAUAUAAUAAAACGUUGAAAAUCUGAGAUUGCUUCCGCACACAUCUUUGAGACGUGACAGAAUGUGAGACCUACAACAGAAGCAGCGGAUCAUCAUUAAGUACCUGGGCUUUGAUCUUCCACCUAUGUUCAUGGAGAACUGUGCCGCGCCACGACAACAGGAGGUGGAGUGCCAAGCUGCGCCGCAUACGCAGCAGAUCUCCAUGAAGUAUCUGGGCUUCACUCUAACACCUGUGUUCGCAGAGGACUACGCCACGCCAUGCCAACAGGAGGAGGAGUCCAGGUACAAGUGGGAGUCUGUAGUCGGGGCUAGUGCCAUCUCCCACCCUCCCUCCCCUAUAAUGGAUCCAGGUCAGCAAACGGAGUCAGCGGAGAAUGAAAGUCAGCCUCCCUGCUCAUCUGAGGAUGCCACUCUGCUUUUUGGGUCAGCUGAGGAUGCCUCUCAGUCACCCAGGCUGGCUGAAGACGUUGCUUCCCCUCUGUUCGCCAAUUCCGUGUACAACGCCUCUGUGCUUGCCUGCUCAGCUGAGGACAUCACUCUGCCUUCCUGCUCGGCUGAGGACGUCGCUCUGCCUUCCUGCUCGGCUGAGGACACCGCUCAGCCUUUCUGUUUGGCUGAGGACGUUGCUCUGUCUUUCUGUUCAGCUGAGGACGUCGCUCUGCCUUCCUGCUCGGCUGAGGACGCCGUUCUGCCUACCUGCUCAGCUGAGGACUUCGCUCUUCCUUCCUGCUCGGCUGAGGUCAUCACUCUGCCAUCCUGCUUUGCUGAGGAGGUGGCUCUGCCUCCAUGUUCCACUGAAGACGCCGUUCCUCUUCUUUGCUGCGCGCCGUAUGUCACUCCCCCUUCCUGCUCCACAGAGGACACUGUUUCCCCCUCGUGCUCCACGGAGAGCAUCGUUCCUCCCUCGGGCCUCGUGGAUAACCUCGCUCCCCUCUCCUGUCCUGCGGAGGAAGUUGUCCUGCUGUCCUACCCUGCAGACGUUGCUCUGAGCUCCAGCCCCACUGAAGACGUCGCUCUGAGCUCCAGCCCUGCUGAGGACGUUGCUCUGCUUACCUGUGACACUGAGGAAGGUGCGUUGCAUUCUUGCUCCACUGAGGAUGCCGCUCAGUCUCCUAGUUUUGCUGGGGACAUUUUGCCCAGGGGGCCAGGACUACCAGAUGGAGGGAGUGCAUUUUUGGGCGCUCCGAGUGAAGUGCCCUUGGGGGAGGGGGGUUCUGUCAUAUUUCAAGGAAGUAACUCUGGACUUCAUUUCCCAGCAGCCACUGCACCAUAUUACUGUCACAUGACCACCUGCACCUGUAUCAAGUUUUUGUUUAACGAGCACUCAUAUAUAUAUAUAGCCACUGUUUGCACUGCUUCUCUGUUUCAUGUAAUUGUCUUAGACUACCGUGUUCCAUGUUACUGUGUUUUGGUCUUGUUAGUUUAUUGUGUAGUCUACCACAGUGUUUUGCAUCAGUCUAAGUAUCCUUUGUGUUUUGGUUGGUUUAUAUAAUAAAACGUUGAAAAUCUGCGAUUGCUUCCACACCCAUCUUUGAGAUGUGACAGCCAUAGAGUGAAGCUGCUUUAGACAAACACAAAGCACUUAAGGUACACAUUUUGAAUACCACCUGUUAAAAAGUGUUUUAUAGUUUUAGAUUAUGCUUGCUGUGCAGAGGUAUGGAUUGACACAGAAAAGAAUUAGGCGUACUGUUGAGUAAGACACAGAAUUCUUCUAACUCAAUACACACUUAUAACUUGAUCAACA
Molecule: long non-coding RNA, 10332 nt
Organism: Ictalurus punctatus (channel catfish)
Lineage: Eukaryota; Metazoa; Chordata; Actinopteri; Siluriformes; Ictaluridae
Source: Ensembl